GCACCAUUUUUUUUCAGAAUUGAGCAGAGAGGACAUGUGUCAGGGUUUUUAGCCCCUAUUGGGAUUAAAGGCAUGCACCACGGGGCUGGGGUUAUGAAGGCUCUUAUCCAAGUCCUUGUAGGCAUGAUUCUUUUCAGAACUGAGCAGAGAGGGCGUGUGUCAGGGUUUUUAGCCCCCUCUGUUUUCUCCUGACCUGCGGGAGAAAUGGCGAAAGCAUGCCCUGACUAGGACGAGCCACGAGAGGCAAAGGUCGACUGGCUGCCCACACCCAGCCCUCCCUCACUGGAGGACAAUCAGAUGCGCCUGGGAAACCAGUCAAAGCAGGAUCUCAUUUAUUGAGGAAGUACACACAGAUAAUAUAGUGCACAGGAGCCAAUCAGGAUAAAGUUCAGAGGGGUGGAGUGAGUUCACAUGUCCACCCAUCACAUGGUCUGUAAGAGAAGGCACGAGAUGUCCAUGAGGGCCAAAGAGUCCUGGACCUUCCUGGAGGUGGUCUGUUUUUUCUGUCACUACCCACAGCACCGCCUCCUGGCUGAUCGCCAGGUGCCAUCCCAGCCACUUGUGCGGCCCCAAGAUGGGAAGCAGGCAGCAAGUCAUGCCCUACAGGCAUGCACAUGUUCUGGCCUCAUGGAAACUGCUAGACCUUUCCUGAUUCCGGUCUACUUGCUUCUCAUCCAGGCUUUAAUGCUUCAAGAAUGGACAGAUGGGUUUUGUGGCCCCAGACGUUUUGGGGCAAGGAGUGAGGUGGGUGCUGGCAUAGUUAGGGCAACCCGUGGAGCCCCCAAGGAGAUGCAUUAGUGGGUGUGGUGGUUGCUGAAGCUUGGGCCGGUGUUUGACUGCCCUUGGACUAUGGCCGUUGGACGGUGCUACAUGCUCAGGCACCGGCCCUCAUCAGGAAGCUUUGCACUUCCCUGGGCCAUCCACCUGGAGGAUGGGACUGGAGGCUCAUGGGUAUUAUGCUCCUGAGGACCAGGUCAGGCCAGAGUGCAGGUGGGGGUCAGUGGUGGAGGGAGUGGUGGGAAGGAAACCAAGGGGUUAGCAGCCAGGGGUUGCAGCUGACACCACCAGGACCCCUCAUUUCCAACCUCAAGAAGGUCCCUGCAGGCAGGGGCCUGGGGUAGGCAGAUCCUGGAGCUUGGCCUCCCAGCUGCCUCCUGGCCUCCUAUUGCUCUGGGCCUUACUUUCUUCACCUGUAAAAUGGGAACCAGCUGCUUCCUCGGG
RNAcentral lists this long non-coding RNA (1221 nucleotides) under Marmota monax (woodchuck). Lineage: Eukaryota; Metazoa; Chordata; Mammalia; Rodentia; Sciuridae. The record is from RNAcentral.